UAUGGGGAGAAGGCAGAAACAGGGUACAGAUUAGGGAUGAUCAGCCUAAUCACAUUGAAUGGCAGUGCUGGCUUGAAGGGCCGAAUGGCCUGCUCCUGCACCUAUUGUCUUUUGUCUAUUGUCUAUUGAAACGUCACCUAUUCCUUCGCUCCGUAGAUGCUGCCCGCAUCCUCACCCGCUGAGUUUCUCCAUCAUUUUUCGUCUCCCCUUUAAACUAAACGUUGGCUAGUUGGACAAUGAUCCUGUGAGAUACUGCAUUGAGGUAUUUCACCAGGUUAAAGGUGUGUUUGGAAAAUCAAGUUGCCGCCGUUCAUAUUUUGAUUCCUGUUGUGUUUCCUCCAUUCCAACGUGACACCUUUACAAUUUCUGGAAUUCAAAGCGCCAGCAUUAAAGAAAUUAUGGAAAUAGUAUGUCUGAUCUCAGGCGACGAAGUCAGACAACCCUGACAGUGCUGACUUGCAUGAAGAUUGAUCUUGGAUGCUGACUGACCCACCGAGUUCCUUCACCAUUUUGCAUUGUUGAUCAAGAUUCCAGCAUUUGCAUUUCCUGGUGACUCCACCUCAACAGUGCAGACACAGUGGCGCAGUGGUAGAGUUGUUGCCUUAUAGCAAAUGCAGCACCGGAGACCCGAGUUCCACACCGACUACGGGUACUGUCUGAAUGGAGUUUGUACGUUCUCCCCGUGACCUGCGUGGGUUUUCUACGAGAUCUUCUGUCUCCUUCCACACUCCAAAGACGUACAGGUUAGUAGAUUAAUUGGCUUGGUAUGAAUGUAAAAUUGUCCCUGGUGGUUGUAGGAUAGUGUUAGUGUGCGGGGAUCGCUGGUCGGCGAGGAUCCGGUGGGCCGAAUGACCUGUUUCCGCGCUGUAUCUCUACGCUAAAGAACCAACUGCUUUUAUUUCAGUGUGUUUUUCACUGAUGUACACUUUGGUCUAUUGAUCCUAAUUCUGCUGCAGACGUAAUUUGAGGAACAUGCAAUUAUGAUAAUUUCAGCAAAAUGCGGCAUUAUAGGAGUCAUUUAUUCAUUUGAAAUUU
Leucoraja erinaceus (little skate) is the source of this 1035-nucleotide long non-coding RNA. RefSeq lists it as uncharacterized. NCBI's taxonomy places the organism in Eukaryota, Metazoa, Chordata, Chondrichthyes, Rajiformes, Rajidae. The record is from RefSeq and is a predicted model, not a curated record. The transcript has 3 exons.